Molecule: non-coding RNA, 167 nt
Filed under: uncultured Terrisporobacter sp.
Lineage: Bacteria; Bacillati; Bacillota; Clostridia; Peptostreptococcales; Peptostreptococcaceae
Source: RNAcentral
UAAAUCAAUUUAGGUUUUCUAAGGAGAUUAAUAGGGAAAAAGGUAAAAGCCUUUGCAGCCCCCGCUACUGUGAAAUGGAUGAAAUUAUUAAUAACCACUGUCUUGAUUAAAAGAUGGGAAGGAAUAAGAGUAAGUUGAUAUUGAGCCAGGAUACCUGCCUAAAUUGA